UCCUACGGGAGAAAGCAGGGGACCUUCUGGCCUUGCGCUAUCAGAUGAGCCUAGGUCGGGAUUAGCUAGUUGGUGAGGUAAUGGCUCACCAAGGCGACGAUCCGUAACUGGUCUGAGAGGAUGAUCAGUCACACUGGAACUGAGACACGGUCCAGACUCCUACGGGAGGCAGCAGUGGGGAAUAUUGGACAAUGGGCGAAAGCCUGAUCCAGCCAUGCCGCGUGUGUGAAGAAGGUCUUCGGAUUGUAAAGCACUUUAAGUUGGGAGGAAGGGCAUUAACCUAAUACGUUAGUGUUUUGACGUUACCGACAGAAUAAGCACCGGCUAACUCUGUGCCAGCAGCCGCGGUAAUACAGAGGGUGCAAGCGUUAAUCGGAAUUACUGGGCGUAAAGCGCGCGUAGGUGGUUUGUUAAGUUGGAUGUGAAAGCCCCGGGCUCAACCUGGGAACUGCAUCCAAAACUGGCAAGCUAGAGUACGGUAGAGGGUGGUGGAAUUUCCUGUGUAGCGGUGAAAUGCGUAGAUAUAGGAAGGAACACCAGUGGCGAAGGCGACCACCUGGACUGAUACUGACACUGAGGUGCGAAAGCGUGGGGAGCAAACAGGAUUAGAUACCCUGGUAGUCCACGCCGUAAACGAUGUCAACUAGCCGUUGGAAUCCUUGAGAUUUUAGUGGUCCAGCUUAUGCAACUAACAUGACCUGCUUCCUGGUCGGAG
Molecule: ribosomal RNA, 715 nt
Filed under: Pseudomonas putida
Lineage: Bacteria; Pseudomonadati; Pseudomonadota; Gammaproteobacteria; Pseudomonadales; Pseudomonadaceae
Description: bacterial SSU rRNA
Rfam family: Bacterial small subunit ribosomal RNA
Source: RNAcentral